UGCCCAAUAGCUCAGUUGGUUAGAGCAUCUGACUGUUAAUCAGAGGGUCUCAGGUUCAAGUCCUGGUUGGGCAG
RNAcentral lists this transfer RNA (74 nucleotides) under Methanobrevibacter sp. RNAcentral's name for it is "tRNA-Asn". It matches the Rfam family "tRNA". From Rfam's summary of the family: Transfer RNA (tRNA) molecules are approximately 80 nucleotides in length. Their secondary structure includes four short double-helical elements and three loops (D, anti-codon, and T loops). The record is from RNAcentral. Lineage: Archaea; Methanobacteriati; Methanobacteriota; Methanobacteria; Methanobacteriales; Methanobacteriaceae.